RNAcentral lists this ribosomal RNA (488 nucleotides) under uncultured bacterium. Its description in RNAcentral is "partial 16S ribosomal RNA". It matches the Rfam family "Bacterial small subunit ribosomal RNA", at positions 28 to 507 of the family's 1533-position model. The record is from RNAcentral.
GACGAACGCUGGCGGCGUGCUUAACACAUGCAAGUCGAACGGAAAGGCCCUGCUUUUGUGGGGUGCUCGAGUGGCGAACGGGUGAGUAACACGUGAGUAACCUGCCCUUGACUUUGGGAUAACUUCAGGAAACUGGGGCUAAUACCGGAUAGGAGCUCCUGCUGCAUGGUGGGGGUUGGAAAGUUUCGGCGGUUGGGGAUGGACUCGCGGCUUAUCAGCUUGUUGGUGGGGUAGUGGCGUACCAAGGCUUUGACGGGUAGCCGGCCUGAGAGGGUGACCGGCCAGACUGGAACUGAGACACGGUCCAGAGGCCUACGGGAGGCAGCAGUGGGGAAUGUGGGGCAAUGGGGGAAAGACGGACGCAGCAAGGGCGCGUGUGUGAAGAAGGUCGGCGGAUCGGAAAGCGCGGUUAGUGGGGAGGAAGAGCUUUGAGGUGAAACAGGGAGGGUUUGACGGUACCAAAAGAAAAAGCCACGGCUAACUUCGUG